CCUACGGGAGACAGCAGUGGGGAAUAUUGGGCAAUGGGCGCAAGCCUGACCCAGCAACGCCGCGUGAAGGAAGAAGGCUUUCGGGUUGUAAACUUCUUUUCUCAGGGACGAAGAAAGUGACGGUACCUGAGGAAUAAGCCACGGCUAACUACGUGCCAGCAGCAGCGGUAAUACGUAGGUGGCAAGCGUUAUCCGGAUUUAUUGGGUGUAAAGGGCGUGUAGGCGGGAGCGCAAGUCAGAUGUGAAAACUCAGGGCUCAACCCUGAGCCUGCAUUUGAAACUGUGUUUCUUGAGUGCUGGGGAGGCAAUCGGAAUUCCGUGUGUAGCGGUGAAAUGCGUAGAUAUACGGAGGAACACCAGUGGCGAAGGCGGAUUGCUGGACAGUAACUGACGCUGAGGCGCGAAAGCGUGGGGAGCAAACAGGAUUAGAUACCCGUGUAGUC
Molecule: ribosomal RNA, 443 nt
Filed under: uncultured bacterium
Lineage: Bacteria
Description: partial 16S ribosomal RNA
Rfam family: Bacterial small subunit ribosomal RNA
Source: RNAcentral